Small nuclear RNA from Nycticebus coucang (slow loris), 105 nucleotides. The record is from RefSeq and is a predicted model, not a curated record. Lineage: Eukaryota; Metazoa; Chordata; Mammalia; Primates; Lorisidae.
UGCUCACCUUGGCGGGCUGCAUACUAAAAUUGGGAUGAUACAGGGAGGAUUGGCAUGGCCCCUGCACAGCAUGGCAGGCAAAUUCAUAAAGGGUUCAAUGUCUUA